GACUGAGGGUGCAAACGUUGUUCGGAAUCACUGGGCGUAAAGCGCACGUAGGCGGAUCUUUAAGUCAGGGGUGAAAUCCCGAGGCUCAACCUCGGAACUGCCUUUGAUACUGGGGAUCUCGAGUCCGGGAGAGGUGAGUGGAACUGCGAGUGUAGAGGUGAGAUUCGUAGAUAUUCGCAAGAACACCAGUGGCGAAGGCGGCUCACUGGCCCGGAACUGACGCUGAGGUGCGAAAGCGUGGGGAGCAAACAGG
RNAcentral lists this ribosomal RNA (253 nucleotides) under uncultured bacterium. RNAcentral's name for it is "partial 16S ribosomal RNA". It matches the Rfam family "Bacterial small subunit ribosomal RNA", at positions 524 to 776 of the family's 1533-position model. The record is from RNAcentral.